GUGGGUAUAGCUCAGUGGUGGAGUCCCUGCUUAGCAUGCAGGAGGGUCCUGGGUUUGAUCCCCAGUACCUCCA
Molecule: transfer RNA, 73 nt
Filed under: Camelus bactrianus (Bactrian camel)
Lineage: Eukaryota; Metazoa; Chordata; Mammalia; Artiodactyla; Camelidae
Also listed under: 3 other names
Rfam family: tRNA
About the family: Transfer RNA (tRNA) molecules are approximately 80 nucleotides in length. Their secondary structure includes four short double-helical elements and three loops (D, anti-codon, and T loops).
Source: Rfam by way of RNAcentral